This is a long non-coding RNA of Lolium rigidum, 528 nucleotides long. RefSeq lists it as uncharacterized. The record is from RefSeq and is a predicted model, not a curated record. The transcript is spliced from 3 exons. NCBI's taxonomy places the organism in Eukaryota, Viridiplantae, Streptophyta, Magnoliopsida, Poales, Poaceae.
ACCUAAAAAGCCAAGGAGGACCUUGUGGUAUUUACUCACUUACUGAUUCAGUGAAUCACCAAAAAUAGCUACCAUGAGGUAAAUAAUCCUCAUGAUUGAGCGGUUCAUGUCCUGCAAGGAUUGCUGGAGGAUGAACAUCCCUGGUGGAAAUCUACAAGUGCAUUUGCCCAUGCAUAAAAGGAGUAGACAGGCCAUGAGGCAAUCAUGAUCGUCGCAGCAACAAGAGUUCAAAUAGAUUUUGUGCCGUCAGCUAUAAGCGGUACAGUGGGAAAAAUGUGUCGUUGUCGCUGAUGUCACACACGAUGCUAUCGACGCUGACAGCAUAACAUUCCACAUAUCAAAUUUUGAAUUAGUCGACACUAUUGAUCCAGUAAUAGCAUCGGGCGGUAUAUCCAAACUGCCCGCAAACAGUGCGAAGUCAACACAUCUUGAUUUGGUUCGACCAUGUAAUAGAUUCAUCAGCUGGCAACAAAAUCUCAGACAAAACACUUGCCAAAGACAUCAUAGAUGCAACCGAUUCAGCUCUAG